UACGUAGGGCGCAAGCGUUGUCCGGAAUUAUUGGGCGUAAAGAGCUCGUAGGCGGCUUGUCACGUCGGGUGUGAAAGCCCGAGGCUUAACCUCGGGUCUGCAGUCGAUACGGGCUAGCUAGAGUGUGGUAGGGGAGAUCGGAAUUCCUGGUGUAGCGGUGAAAUGCGCAGAUAUCAGGAGGAACACCGGUGGCGAAGGCGGAUCUCUGGGCCAUUACUGACGCUGAGGAGCGAAAGCGUGGGGAGCGAACAGG
This 253-nucleotide ribosomal RNA is filed under the name uncultured bacterium. RNAcentral describes it as "partial 16S ribosomal RNA". It matches the Rfam family "Bacterial small subunit ribosomal RNA", at positions 524 to 776 of the family's 1533-position model. The record is from RNAcentral.